GACGAACGCUGGCGGCGUGCUUAACACAUGCAAGUCGAACGGAAAGGCCCUGCUUUUGUGGGGUGCUCGAGUGGCGAACGGGUGAGUAACACGUGAGUAACCUGCCCUUGACUUUGGGAUAACUUCAGGAAACUGGGGCUAAUACCGGAUAGGAGCUCCUGCUGCAUGGUGGGGGUUGGAAAGUUUCGGCGGUUGGGGAUGGACUCGCGGCUUAUCAGCUUGUUGGUGGGGUAGUGGCUUACCAAGGCUUUGACGGGUAGCCGGCCUGAGAGGGUGACCGGCCACAUGGGGACUGAGAUACGGCCCAGACUCCUACGGGAGGCAGCAGUGGGGAAUAUUGCACAAUGGGCGGAAGCCUGAUGCAGCAACGCCGCGUGCGGGAUGACGGCCUUCGGGUUGUAAACCGCUUUCGCCUGUGACGAAGCGUGAGUGACGGUAAUGGGUAAAGAAGCACAGGCUAACUACGU
Molecule: ribosomal RNA, 467 nt
Filed under: uncultured bacterium
Lineage: Bacteria
Description: partial 16S ribosomal RNA
Rfam family: Bacterial small subunit ribosomal RNA
Source: RNAcentral